AACCUCUCUGCCCCGAUGGUGAUCACCUGCCCAUCAGGCAGCUCAUAGCUCUUCUCCACAGAGGAGCUGGUCUUAGCAGUCUCAAGCUCCUGCUCAUAGUCAAGUGCCACAUAGGCGAGCUUCUCCUUGAUGUCCCUUACAAUUUCCCGCUCGGCAGUGGUGGUGAAGGAGUAACCCCUCUCAGUAAGAAUCUUCAUCAGACUGUCAGUGAGAUCACGUCCAGCAAGGUCAAGACGGAGAAUGGCGUGCGGAAGGGCAUAACCUUCAUAGAUUGGCACGGUAUGGCUCACACCAUCACCAGAGUCCAACACGAUACCUGCAGGAACAACAACAUACUACCAGCUGAGAUGGAAGAACCUUAUACAUUUCAAAAUGCACUUUCAUGAAAAUGGAUAAUCACUUGCACACCUGUUGUGCGUCCACUGGCGUAGAGGGAAAGCACAGCCUGAAUGGCGACAUACAUGGCCGGCACAUUGAAUGUCUCAAACAUGAUCUGGGUCAUCUUCUCCCUGUUAGCCUUGGGGUUCAGGGGGGCCUCGGUCAGCAGCACUGGGUGCUCCUCGGGCGCGACACGGAGCUCGUUGUAGAAGGUGUGAUGCCAAAUCUUCUCCAUGUCGUCCCAGUUGCUGACGAUACCGUGCUCGAUCGGGUACUUCAGGGUGAGGAUACCCCUCUUGGACUGGGCCUCAUCGCCAACAUAGGCGUCCUUCUGCCCCAUUCCCACCAUCACGCCGGUGUGGCGCGGGCGUCCAACAAUACUCGGGAAGACAGCCCUCGGCGCAUCAUCCCCUGCGAAACCGGCCU
This 804-nucleotide long non-coding RNA is filed under the name Setaria viridis. RNAcentral describes it as "long non-coding RNA (SVIR_LNC008553)". The record is from RNAcentral. Lineage: Eukaryota; Viridiplantae; Streptophyta; Magnoliopsida; Poales; Poaceae.